Molecule: long non-coding RNA, 3871 nt
Organism: Hydractinia symbiolongicarpus
Lineage: Eukaryota; Metazoa; Cnidaria; Hydrozoa; Anthoathecata; Hydractiniidae
Exons: 8
Source: RefSeq, a predicted model, not a curated record
AUUUAGUAGUAGUAACUAGUAUGUAAAUUAUCCUACAAAAGUAUCGUGAACUGGUACUUAGCCUGUGGAAAAUCCACAGAAAUGUUCCAUCGCAGGUUGCGUGGCUAAACUUGACCCAGUUUUCGCCCAAAAGCAUGCAAAAUAUGAUGACUACUAUACAGAUUAUUUUGAAUCUCGGGUUUAGGUCGCGCCUUACAGGAUCCAGGAGAGCCUCUUCAGUUCCUAACGGUACUAUUGUCGAUGAGGGUCCUGCGAAGAGCUCCUAGUGCAUUAAAAACUCAUAUUUGUGCUGUGGGUGAUGUUUAAGGUUUAAGCUCUCGAUUAAGUAAGAUCCGCACUCUUUUUCUGGAAAGAAAGUUGUUUACGUGAUUUACCAUUCGAUGGUCGUUUAUCUAAACUUGUGAUGUCAGAGUUGAGCGGUUAAUAGGACUGGGCGGUUAAUCAAGAAUUAGGAGUUUACUAAGAAUAUCCUAAAAUUUAUUUUCAUCGCUAUGUUUGUUUACUUUGCUCAUUUUCUUAUUAUUACCGUAUAUUAGAAGCGCUAAGUCAUAAAAUCCGACAAAUCGCCGUUUUAGUUUUCACUAUCAAAAGGAGCAUAAAACCUUGCGUUGUCUUAAAUACAUCAUCUUUUGCGCAAGUAGACUUGUUGUCCUAAAAAAUUAAUAAAAGAACUAUGGUUUUACAUAUAACCUCGGACUUUAAGUCGCACUGCAAUUUUUUUUACAUGACGAAUCGGAAUUGGGUUAAGAUUUAUGACAAGUCCUUAAGUGAGAGCUUUUCGUUAAUUUGGUUUUAGUUUUCAUUGAGCUGGGAUUGCCACUAUUGUUUUUGGAUUUUAGCAUUCGUUGGUCGUGUAACAUACACACCAAGACAAAUGGGAUUGACAAUCACAGCCGACAUCUGGCUGGUGUCAAAUCACAAGUUAUUUAAAAAUAGUUCUAUUUGCAUACGCAAUAUUAUUAAAAGCUUGUCCAGCUUUUUUAUGUUUAAAAUUUCCUUAAAUUAAAGAUACUACAAACCUUCACAUGGGAUUCUUGAUUGCACCUACCUACACCUUGUUUUAGAUAAAUAAAAUGGUAAAAUUGCACUGAUUGAGCUGAAUAAAAGGCAUGCAAGUAGAGGAAUUUAAAUUAUCAGUACACAUUUUCAAGUAGGACAGGACUGUAAAACUGCGAAACGAAACGGGAUGUUGGCUAAAGUGCUAAGAAUAGGGUCGGAUCUGGAUUUCUAUCUACCUGAAUUUCUACCUAAUUAAGACGGACGAACGGACGGACGGACGUUUUGCUUAUCUAUUCAAUCUACAACAAAAUUGUACUGGUUCAAUGUUCGUUUGUUUGUUUCUUUUUUUUUUUGUUUUCUUCACGGAGACAUUUGAGGUAAAUUUGUCUGUGAAAGAAAUACAUUUCCAAAACAAAGAUUACAUUUCAUUCAUCAACAUCGCGUAGUAAAAUCAUCUAACCAGAACACAAAUUCCAAAUGGUUAUCACUGACGACAAAAAUUUAAAACUUUUACUUUACAACGGAAAAUAACAGUAUUUUAAGUUUUACGUUAAUUUUAAUCAACCUGAUGAUUUGAUUUGAUUGUAGAUCCUCCCGAACUUGUAACUGGUCCUCCAUCAGAACAAGUUCUCGUUGAAUUUAGCGUUGAAUAAUUGGAAUGUUUUGUGAAUUCCUAUCCACGUGCAAGUAUCGAGUGGUUUUAUGCUGCAGACAGAAAAACAUUUAAAAGCAUUUCCCAUCUAGCUAAGGAAAAACUUUUAGCCACAGCAUUCUACGAAGUAAAUGUUCAAAGUCGAAUUAAUUUCAAUCCAAAAAUUUCAAGAAAUGAUGAAGGAAUCUAUUACUGCAUUGUAAUCAAUCAUUUGGGGAGCUUCACUAAGAAAACCAACGUCACUGUCCAUUGGCCUGCUGAGUUUGACACAGGCACGAUAGAUGGUGGUUCAACAGUCAUUAAAAUAUUACAAUCCGCUAGUUUUAACUGCAUUACAGGAAGCAAGCCAGAACCAACUAUAAAAUGGAUCAAAGAUGAUCUAAAUGAAGUAAAAUGAGACACAGCUUCGAUUUUCAUAAAUACUUUGUUUGUAAACUCAACAACCAUUGUCAAAGAAAGUAUUUUAACAUUUACCAAUGCAACUGCAAGCGAUACGGGCUUGUACACAUGUGUUGUUGAGAACACAGUAGCCAGCGUGAAGGAGACGAGGAGAAGAAAAAAAUAUCUUCAUGUUAUGUAUCCUCCAAUAGUACUGGCUGCUUCUACGAAUCAAACUAUAGAAAUUACAAAUUCACUUACGCUGAGUUGCGCUAGCCAAUCAAAUCCUCCAAUUAACCGCCAUUUAUGGAAAAAACAUGGUACCACUAAACCAAACAAUCAAAGUAAAUACAUAAUUGAAUUUGUGGAUAGAGACACAAAGGGGGUGUACACCUGCACACCUGAAAACGCUGAAGGAGUUGGAAACACAAUCAGACAUAGAAUUGCAGUAAAAAUCACGCCAACCUUCACAUCAAAAGCUUCAUGUCAGGAAAGAGAUGGUAUAUAUCACUGUUAUUGCGCUGGUGUUGGCUAUCCAGCACCUCAAGUCACUUGGGGUAAAAGACCAAACAACGUAUCUUAAACAAUUGGAAAUUCACUUAACUUGACCAUUAGUACAUCAACUGUAGGGAUAUAUAGCUGCAUUUUACAAAAUAGUUAUGGAUCAGUGACUUCAGAUAUUACACUUCUUCCUCCUUACACUGAUUGGACAAGUUGGAGCAACUGCAACGUAACAUGUGGUGGAGGAUCCAGAACUCGUAACAAAAAAUGCAAUUAUAAAGUGUGUAACGGUGAAACUCGUUCGAUUGAAUCAUGCAAUGCUGGCGCAUGUCCAGUAGUUCACCCUUUUAAAGAUAACUGUCACCCUACAAUUAAUAUUAUUGUGUCAGUUCUCGCAACAUUAGUUAUCACAUUGAUUGCAAAUACCGUGUUGUUGGUAAUUUUAAAGCAUAAAGGUUUUGUCACAAUCUACAUAAGACGUAAGAGAAGAACACGAAACAAGGAAACAGAGGAAUAUGAAGUAGCUGAAACAACUUUAUCCCAAUACGCAGAUCUUAAUAUUCAGGCUAUCAAACCAAGCUUAUACACUGACUUGUCAACUAUCAAUAAUCAUUCAAACGAUUAUGCCGAAAUUUAACAAACGAACGCAGAACAGAACCAAUGCUAUUACCAAGGCCUACAUAUAUUUUUCUAUAUUAUAAUACCCGUAUACGUGUCUAAAGCAAAAUGGUAACCCAGUGACACAAGAGAUGCCGUAAAAAAAGAGGAGUGAAUACGUGGAUAUUUACACGGGCCAUCUUGUAUAAUAAUAGCCAAAUGUGAAUAGCUAUGACGUUUUACGUCACAAAAAUCAUGGGUUGUUUCUUUACCGCUCAUGUAUAGUUUCCCAAACAAAACUAAUAUUCACUAAAACAAAAAAUAAAAUUGACACUCUAACUGUUGUUUUUUUUUGGAAAUUUGUGUAAGCUUCUGUAAAAAAAAGCAUUGUAUAUCAUAAAUUAAAAGAUAUAUGUUUUAUUUGUUAUAACUGUAGCAUUUUAGCAUUUUGAUGAAAAUAUUGUCGGAGAGAAUAUGCAGUAUGAAAAGAAUUCCUUCAACAUUUUUUAAAACUUUUGUUAAAAGAACUUUUUUUUGUAUUUAUUUUUUUUACAUGCUGCGAACCUUAGGUUUUGACAUUAAUAAUACGCCACUUUGGUCUGUGCGUGUGUGAACUUUUGCAAAGAGGAUGUUUUUAUGUCUCAAUUGUUAAACGACACAUCAGCUACUUCGUGACGUUGAUAAAUUAGUUUCACUUCAAUAACGUGAUUAUUAUUUGUAAAUCCGUUGAUCUCGGUAACUAAA